Non-coding RNA from Pelobates cultripes (western spadefoot toad), 231 nucleotides. The record is from the annotation of a GenBank genome assembly. NCBI's taxonomy places the organism in Eukaryota, Metazoa, Chordata, Amphibia, Anura, Pelobatidae.
CUGUGAUGUCCCAUAAGGCUUGUUAUCUGGCUGAACACAACACCGUGAUGCCACAGGAGGUGUGUUAUCUGGCUCAAUAGAACCCUGUGAUGACAUUUGAUUUUCACUGGCUAACUGAAUAGAAUACUGACUGUGAUGUCACAUGAGACUUGCUAUCUAGCUGCAUAGGACACUGUGAUGUCAUUUGAUUAUUACUGGCUGCCUGAAUAGAACACUGUGAUCUCACAUGAG